UGGGGAAUUUUGGACAAUGGGGGCAACCCUGAUCCAGCAAUGCCGCGUGUGUGAAGAAGGCCUUCGGGUUGUAAAGCACUUUUGUCCGGAAAGAAAACGUCGUGGUUAAUACCCGUGGCGGAUGACGGUACCGGAAGAAUAAGCACCGGCUAACUACGUGCCAGCAGCCGCGGUAAUACGUAGGGUGCAAGCGUUAAUCGGAAUUACUGGGCGUAAAGCGUGCGCAGGCGGUCCGCUAAGACAGAUGUGAAAUCCCCGGGCUUAACCUGGGAACUGCAUUUGUGACUGGCGGGCUAGAGUAUGGCAGAGGGGGGUAGAAUUCCACGUGUAGCAGUGAAAUGCGUAGAGAUGUGGAGGAAUACCGAUGGCGAAGGCAGCCCCCUGGGCCAAUACUGACGCUCAUGCACGAAAGCGUGGGGAGCAAACAGGAUUAGAUACCCUGGUAGUCCACGCCCUAAACGAUGUCAACUAGUUGUCGGGUCUUCAUUGACUUGGUAACGUAGCUAACGCGUGAAGUUGACCGCCUGGGGAGUACGGUCGCAAGAUUAAAAACU
Molecule: ribosomal RNA, 554 nt
Filed under: uncultured bacterium
Lineage: Bacteria
Description: partial 16S ribosomal RNA
Rfam family: Bacterial small subunit ribosomal RNA
Source: RNAcentral